GUUUGCCUACGGGACGCAGCAGUAGGGAAUAUUGCUCAAUGGGGGAAACCCUGAAGCAGCAACGCCGCGUGGAGGAUGAAGGUUUUCGGAUUGUAAACUCCUUUUGUUAGAGAAGAUAAUGACGGUAUCUAACGAAUAAGCACCGGCUAACUCCGUGCCAGCAGCCGCGGUAAUACGGAGGGUGCAAGCGUUACUCGGAAUCACUGGGCGUAAAGAGCGCGUAGGCGGGAUAGCGAGUCAGAUGUGAAAUCCUAUGGCUUAACCAUAGUACUGCAUUUGAAACUGUUAUUCUAGAGUAUGUGUGA
This 305-nucleotide ribosomal RNA is filed under the name uncultured bacterium. RNAcentral's name for it is "bacterial SSU rRNA". It matches the Rfam family "Bacterial small subunit ribosomal RNA", at positions 333 to 655 of the family's 1533-position model. The record is from RNAcentral.